This 451-nucleotide ribosomal RNA is filed under the name uncultured bacterium. Its description in RNAcentral is "bacterial SSU rRNA". It matches the Rfam family "Bacterial small subunit ribosomal RNA", at positions 329 to 794 of the family's 1533-position model. The record is from RNAcentral.
AGCCAGACUCCUACGGGAGGCAGCAGUGGGGGAUAUUGGACAAUGGGGGGAACCCUGAUCCAGCGACGCCGCGUGAGUGAAGAAGUAUUUCGGUAUGUAAAGCUCUGUCAGCAGGGAAGAAAGAAAUGACGGUACCUGACCAAGAAGCCCCGGCUAACUACGUGCCAGCAGCCGCGGUAAUACGUAGGGGGCAAGCGUUAUCCGGAAUUACUGGGUGUAAGGGGAGCGUAGACGGUUAAGUAAGUCUGGAGUGGAAGGCCGGGGCCCAACCCCGGGACUGCUCUGGAAACUAUUGAACUUGAGUGCAGGAGAGGUAAGCGGAAUUCCUAGUGUAGCGGUGAAAUGCGUAGAUAUUAGGAGGAACACCAGUGGCGAAGGCGGCUUACUGGACUGUAACUGACGUUGAGGCUCGAAAGCGUGGGGAGCAAACAGGAUUAGAUACCCUCGUAUA